This 425-nucleotide ribosomal RNA is filed under the name Gnomulus rostratus. RNAcentral's name for it is "partial 16S ribosomal RNA". It matches the Rfam family "Bacterial large subunit ribosomal RNA", at positions 1832 to 2600 of the family's 2925-position model. RNAcentral also lists the same sequence under 1 other name. Lineage: Eukaryota; Metazoa; Arthropoda; Arachnida; Opiliones; Sandokanidae. The record is from RNAcentral.
AGUUAUUAGGGUGAAUUAAUAAUUUUACCUGCUCAAUGCUAAGUUAAUAGCUGCAGUAUUUUGACUGUACUAAGGUAGCAUAAUCAAUAGCUUUUUAAUUGAAGGCUGGUAUGAAUGGUUAAUACUAUAAGGGAAGUUUUGUUAAUCAAUUUUGAAUUUAAAAUAAAAGUAAAAAUGCUUUUAUAAAAUCCUGGGACGAGAAGACCCUAGAAGCUUAAAGAUAAUAUAUUUUAGUUGGGGUGAUUAAUGAAGAUUUUAAUCUUUAGUUUAGAAAUAAGUAGUUAAUAGUUACUCUAGGGAUAACAGCGUUAUUUAGUUUAAGAGUUCUUAUUUGAAAUUAAGUUUGCGACCUCGAUGUUGAAUUAAAUGGAAGUAUGGUGAAGAAGCUAUAUAUUUGUAGUCUGUUCGACUAUUAAAUUUUUACA